Molecule: ribosomal RNA, 492 nt
Filed under: uncultured bacterium
Lineage: Bacteria
Description: partial 16S ribosomal RNA
Rfam family: Bacterial small subunit ribosomal RNA
Source: RNAcentral
AGUGAACGCUGGCGGUAGGCCUAACACAUGCAAGUCGAACGGCAGCACAGUAAGAGCUUGCUCUUACGGGUGGCGAGUGGCGGACGGGUGAGGAAUACAUCGGAAUCUACUUUUUCGUGGGGGAUAACGUAGGGAAACUUACGCUAAUACCGCAUACGACCUACGGGUGAAAGCAGGGGAUCUUCGGACCUUGCGCGAUUGAAUGAGCCGAUGUCGGAUUAGCUAGUUGGCGGGGUAAAGGCCCACCAAGGCGACGAUCCGUAGCUGGUCUGAGAGGAUGAUCAGCCACACUGGAACUGAGACACGGUCCAGACUCCUACGGGAGGCAGCAGUGGGGAAUAUUGGACAAUGGGCGCAAGCAUGAUCCAGCCAUACCGCGUGGGUGGAGAAGGCGUUCGGGUUGUAAAGCCCUUUUGUUGGGAAAGAAAAGCAGCAGGUUAAUACCCCGCUGUUCUGACGGUACCCAAAGAAUAAGCACCGGCUAACUUCGUG